Molecule: long non-coding RNA, 6987 nt
Filed under: Triticum aestivum (bread wheat)
Lineage: Eukaryota; Viridiplantae; Streptophyta; Magnoliopsida; Poales; Poaceae
Description: long non-coding RNA (TAES_LNC010021)
Source: RNAcentral
CCACGAAUGAAGCUGAAUGCCGGCGGGAUGAUGGCGACGACAAGGAGGAGGACGACAGCAACAAGGAGGUCAACUACGACGACGAUGAAUAACAUCAAGUAGUUUUGUUAGGUUCUAGAAUUAUGCAUGUUAAUUACGUAGAACUUCUGCAUAUCAUGUAAUGAUAUUAAGUAUCGUCUUUAUGUUUUAUGAAGUUUUCCAUUGAAACCUCUCAUGUCCACUCGUGCUUGUAACUGCUUGAACUUGUCCCAAAAUAUAUACUUCUGACUACCAUCUUGGCACCAUAAGUGUAAUCACAAGUAUAUAUAUAUUGUGAUUUGGCCUCACAUUGGGAAAUUUAAUAAUAUAAGCAAUUGAUAUCUAAAAAAUUCUUAAGUUUUCAAAUUAUAUUCUAUUACACUACAAAUCAUUACAGAAUAUGCACAUGUCUAAUGACAACCGAAUACGUUGCCGAAAAUCAGGUCAUAACGUCACUAAAGUUGUCAAGGGCGCUGCCCCGAGGGAAAAAACAGCUGGUGAUAGUCUUCCGUCAUAUAAAAUGAUAUUAGGCAACAUUUCAUAUCCCGUUACCAGGGUUUUCGUCACAAAAUAGCACAAAUUUUGUAGUGACGGUGUCAAAUUCCUCUUUCUGUAACCAGAAACAGACUACAGGUCAAAUCUCUGGAGGAAGAACAUGAGGUGAUGGUGUCUCCAUCUCAAGAAAAGCUUCCGUGAUUUUUUGGGAAUUUUUUAGGUACAUAUAGGAUUUUAUGGCAGCGGAAUCACCAAAAGAUGGUGGCCAGGGACCCCACAUGCCCCCGUGGCGCGCCCUAGGGAGGCGCCACUUGUCCGUGUCACCCGUGGUGGCUCCCCUCUGGUCCGUUUUCAUUCCAUAAUUUCUCAAAUAUUCUGAAACAAAUCUCCAAAAAUCCAUGUCCAGUUUCGAGCAUUUUUAUUUCUACACAAAAAUAAUACCAAAGGAUUUCUAGUGAAAGCUCUGUCAGUCCAGGUUAGUUUCAUUCAAAUCAUAUAAAUUAGAGGCAAAAGUAAGAGCAAAAAUGUUUAGAAAAUUAGAUACAUUUGGGAUGUAUCAUCCCUCCACAACGAAAUCCCUCAUAUGCUUGCUUUUGGUGGUGAAGGGGGACCAUUUCCCCUUUGUACUAUUGGCGAAAAUCUUGUUGGUCUUACCGGCGAUGUCGGCCUGUCCACUACUGCUCCAGCCCGAAUUUGGUGGGACGGCCGAUGAGCACCUUAGUCCACGACCUCACCGCGUUGCCCAUCUCUCAGUGCCGGGAACCCAUCUAGUGAGCUAAGGACACCUACCCUAAACCCCUCUCUCUUUUCUUCUUGAUUACUGCUUCAUUUUCCAUGAUUUGAGCUUCCCCUCCUUGUUGUGGAAUAUACUAAAAUAUUCGGCCAAUGUUGUAAUUUUGUGAAAUAUCCCGUCAUUUCACAAAUUUUAUGCUGGUUUUUGGUUUGUGAAAUGUUUAGCCGAUAUUGUAUUUAUGAAAAUGAAAUGCAUUCGAAGACCUCAAAUUGAAAUGGAAGUGAAGAUUAGUAAAACUGACACAUUGUGUAUCUAGUAAUUUGCUAUUCUCAAACUCAAAAGGAAGUCAAGAUCUCUGGAGCAAAUAUAUGUAAUAUCCGGUAAUUCUUGUCUUAAAUUUGAAAUAGAUGUUAAUGUUUGUAAAGUUGCUAUUUGAUCAUAAUUGGUAAUUUAUAGAUUUGGAACUGAAGUGGAUGUUAUAUUUGUGAAAUUGGUGAUAUCAUUUAUAUUUUAUUUCAGUGUGUAACUGAUUGUUUAAAAUAUGUGAAACCGAUUAUGGCAAAUACUCCCUCCAUCCCAAACUAAGGUGUCUCAAGUUUUUACUAACUUUUGUACUAAGUUUGAGACACUUAUUUUUGGGACGGAGGGAGUAUGUAAAACCGAUUAUUUUAAUGUGUGAAAACCUAUUUUUAAUUUAUGAAAAAAUAUUUUAAUGUUUGAAACUAAAUAUUUAUGUAAUUGAAUCAGUUUGUGAACUAUGAAAUCUUUUUUCAAAACUAUUUUAUUUUUGAAAAGAUGGAAGACCUCUCGACCUUUUGUAUCAUUGUGAUGCAGACAACAUAUUUAUUAAAAGCAUCUCCAGCCGUUGGCCCCCAGGAGGCGCUAAAAAUCGCCCCUCGGAACGCACCGGCGAAAACCGCGUGCUAGGGGCGUGAUGGCCCCCAGUCACGGCGCCCAUGAGUUAUUUGAAAACCAUAAACUAGGCGCAAAUUCAUCCAAACUUCGGCGAGUUCAUACAUAUUUAAAAUAUUUUACAAAAAAAGAAAAAAAAGCUACUCGCCGCGGCCCGCCGUCGCCCUCGCCGCUCCUCGCCACCCGCCGCCCUUGAAGCUCUACAUGCCCAGGAGCCUGUAGAACCGCGUGUCGCCGUCGCCGUCGUCGUCGUCGUCGCCGCCUCCUCUGCGGCUGUCGUCCCUGCUGCACCUCUCCCCAGGUUGGCGCGGCGGGUUGGACGGUCCGGGGGCGUCCUCGUCCUCGUCGCUGUCGAGGAUCACCACGACGUGCUCGUCCUCGCGCCCACGCUUGCGGGCGGCUAUCUCCUCCAGGGCUCGGCGCUGCCGGACCAUCUCGUCGCGGAGGUAGUCGUCCCGCGCCCACUUUCUCCUCGUCGGAGAAGCCGCGCCGGACUAUGGCCUCGUACUCCGCGGGGAGGCCGGGCUCCGCCUUCGGCCUGACGAGGACGAGGCGGCCAGAGGUGGGGGAGGAGUCGGUGAUGCAGACGCCGGAGCUGCGGGUGCGGUGGCUGACCACCGUGUCCUGGGGCUCCGGCUUGACGGGGCGGAGGCAGGGAGAGCCGGUCGAGCGGCCGGACAAGGAGGAGGACACCCCCGGGUCCAUGCGCCUCGGCGUCCACGAGCUCCCACGCCAGCGGGAGAAUGACGGGGGAGCGGGAUACUCCAGCCUGGGCGUGUUGCCGCCCUUGAUGUACUCGAGAACGGCCUCCAGCGUGCAGCCGGGCACGCCCCACCAUCGGCAGCGGCCUUCGAAGUUGAGCCUCCCGGAGGGCACGUGGCGGGCGAGGGACACACGUCGUCCGGUCUUCACUGCGCCGCAAGUGAGGCAUCAAUGGAGGAGGCUGACCGGCGCGGCAGCACGCGACAACUUUGGCAUUGAUUCACAGCGGGAACCGAGGCGAUGAGGACGACGAAGCGGCGAGAAGAGCCGAGUCGCUGCCAAGGAGGGUCCGCCGACUUUCGCGCCAAAAACGAUUUGGUCGGCGCCCCCAAGAGCCCCCCAGCGCGCCGGGUUCAGCCUGGGUCCGUCGACGCCAAUUUCGGUCCGAGCCGGCGAAAAAAGGUCCUUUGGGAACGCGAUUGGGCCGAUUUUUCGAUGCCGACGGCCGAAAUAUCGCCUGGGGGGCCUUGUUGGAGGCGCGGCUGGAGAUGCUCUAACUCCCAGGUAACAACAUCCGUUAUAUAGUGCAACAAGCAAAGGAAACUAACACCACUUUUAUGAAGGUAUUUGGAUCAAAAAUUUAUUAAAUAACAGAUGUCACUUUUUGAAAUGAAAUGAUUGAAGUCAAUAGUUUGAAAUAAUUGUAACGGGUGGAAUCACUGUCUUGAAAUAAUGAUCACUCUUUAGGAAAAGAAAUAGACAUGCAUGGAUUUGUUUGGUGAGAGGAGAGGGGACGUGAGCUGGCACGUCCUUUGCGGGUACGUGCAAAGUGAUCGAGAGAGAGCAGGGCCUCAAGCCACACUGCCACAGGGCCCAGGUAGUCAAAUACGGUAAUACUAAAAUUAAUGAAGAGAAGAAUGCAAUACAAUCACGCAUGCAUGUGAGCCGACACCUUUACGUGCGGAAAACACGGCUACGCGCCGGCGCCGCUAGAAACCGAUUUGGCGCCAACGCACGCCGUGUCUCGAUACAAGCUACGUACGUGGUGCGGAUGGGUGCUGAUAGGAGGGAGAUUUGGCAUUUCCUAAUCAAGGGGCGUACGGGCUCGGCUGGCCGGGUCCAAGAAAAAGUUGACAACAGCCACGUAAAGGCACAUGCCAGAUGAUAUGCUUGGUGUUGCCGGACCCCACGCGCACAGUGACCUCGUUAGCCCCAACCAACCACCUGCAUUACCAAACGCCCCGUACUAACUAACUCUUGUAAGGGCACACCAGAAGGCAAAGAUAGUUACACCAAAAUACACACUUCCACCGUCCGGAACGAAUCUAGAUAUAUACAUCCGUGUGAGCGUCAACUAAUUUCGGGCAAAGGGAGCAGUAUACGGAAGAGUUAGUUCUUGGAAGGAGGUGUUCAGAAAACUGAGCAGUUUAAUCCGUGCAGUGCUGUUGCUUGUAAGGAUCAUUUUCUAGGUACGAUCAUUUUCCGUUGGCGCGCCCGUAAGACCGUGUGAUAUAAUGUAGGAGUACUAGGGUAUAAUGGAUGCAUGAUAGGAUCGCAGCUCAUUAAGAGCUGUCACGAAUGGAAUGGCCGACGGGAUCCUCGCCAGUCUCACAACUUGCGCAGCCCGCCCGUGAUCAGUAUGGUUCAUUUUUCCUUCGGAUCCCCUGGCAACAACCGCAGGAAUGGACACUAUAUAGUUCACGGGUUAGCGGCAGCUUAGAGGUGGUACCACUCCACUGACCGCUGCCACUGCUACUCGUCUCCAAGUCGUAAAGGAACUGGAGAGGCUGCGAGGGAGGGCCGGGGGAACUAAUACUAUAGCACUGCUAUACCAAGCUCGCCAUUAAUGGCAGCUGCCAUGUCGAGGAGAGCGGUGGCCGUGGCCGCGGUGCUCGCCGCCGUCACCUCGCUGCUCGCCCCCGCCGCCGUGGCGCAGCUCUCGACGUCCUUCUACAGCGGCAGCUGCGCGAGCCUGGAGUCCAUUGUGAGGUCGGGCAUGGUGUCCGCCGUCCAGCAGGAGCCGCGCAUGGGCGCCUCCAUCCUCCGCCUCUUCUUCCACGACUGCUUCGUCAACGUACGUCGCCGAAAGUUCCUUCCUGCUACUCUUCUACCUCCAUCCAUACGCUGCAAAUGGUCUCAUGUCCAUUUCAAAUCCAUGGCCGCGCGCAGGGCUGCGACGGCUCGGUGCUGCUGGACGACUCGGCGACGCUGACGGGGGAGAAGAACGCCGGGCCGAACGCCAACUCGCUGCGCGGCUUCGAGGUGAUCGACGCCAUCAAGUCCCGGGUCGACGCGGCGUGCCCCGGCACCGUGUCCUGCGCCGACAUCCUCGCCGUCGCCGCGCGCGACGGCGUUAACCUGGUAAUUUAAGCUCGCUCGCUACUUACCAUGCACGCAUGCACGACAUCCCCGUGGAGAUAUAUAGAUCUGUUUAUUUACGUCCGCCUGCCGACACCCGUACAGCGAACUAGCUGUCGCCUUAUUAUUUCAGAGAGGAAAAAGCGCCGAACUAGGCACUCGAUCGCCUUGGCCAAAAGGGUUCACUUAUUCCAUCGUCUUUUUAACAACGCACGCGCGACAAACGAGCACUAGUCAGCACAUGUGGGCGGGCUAGCCUCGCAGAACCCGCUUUACGGUGAGGUUGUUGCCGCUGCAUGCAUGAUGUUGGCAACUUGAUCUUCUGAUGUGGGUUAGCAUUUUUUUUAUAUAGUAACGAACAUGGUACAGAUGUGGACAUUUCAUCACACUGACGUACGUAGAGAUUACACUGUGAAUACAUGCACGUGUACCCCUGUCGUUGGGAGCAAGAGAGACUGAGACCACGCGUUUUUUUUAAUAACGAACAUGGUACAGAUGUAGACAUUUCACCACGACGUACUUGGCUAAACACGGCACUGUCUCGAUCUAGCUAAACAAACAUCGCUCGAAAGUCUGAAAUAAUUGAAAAAAAAUAGGCACACCCAUGCUAAGUCUAUAACUUAAACAGGAGUGAAAGGAAACAAACUAAGUUCACCGUCUUUUGAGCUACUUGAUCUAUCAAUUUUGUCGUGUAUGAAUAAUUGCUCAGUAUAUGAGCAUGUAGUUACUAUCCGUACUUGCUUGAUUACCGCAUGUGCCUAUUUGCUCACAUGAUGAUGACGUACGUGCGUGCAUGUGCAGCUGGGCGGGCCGUCGUGGGGGGUGCCGCUGGGCCGGCGGGACGCGCGCACGACGACUCAGGCAGCGGCGAACAGCAACCUGCCGUCGCCGUCGUCGAGCGCGGCCACGCUGAUCUCGGCGUUCGCGUCCAAGGGGCUGGACUCCCGCGACAUGGUGGCGCUGUCCGGCGCGCACACGAUCGGCGCGGCGCGGUGCGCGAGCUUCCGGUCGCGCGUGUACAACGACAGCAACAUCAACGCCGGGUUCGCGACGCGGCGGCGGCAGGUGUGCCCGGCGCAGGGCGGCGUGGGCGACGGCAACCUGGCCCCGCUGGACGCCUUCAGCUCCGUGCGCUUCGACAACGGCUACUUCCGGAACCUGCUGAGCCGCUUCGGCCUCCUUCACUCGGACCAGGAGCUCUUCAACGGCGGGCCCGUGGACUCCAUCGCGCAGCAGUACGCCGGCAACGGCGGCGCCUUCUCGGCCGACUUCGUCACCGCCAUGAUCAAGAUGGGCAACAUCAGCCCGCUCACCGGAUCCAACGGCGAGAUCCGCAACAACUGCCGGAAGCCCAACUAAAGGAGUACCACGAACGAACUCCCCGAGAUUCGUGGGGUUCGCUCGGCAUUGCCAGCUAGUAGCAUUAGGCCGCCGGACGGUGUUGCUUUUUUUCUGGUGGGGGAGAGGGUGGAGUGUGAAGGAAGGAAGGGAAGGCAACGACAUGAUUUGGUGGAGUGGCGCUGUCAGGUGAGGGGAGGAACGUACGGGACCGGGGCUCGUGCAUGUCUUUUUUCUCGUCAAGUUUUGAUUGCUCACCAGGGGGGCCGUGCGUGUCGCCGGCGGCGACACGUCGCGGCGUCGGCAUUGCUUUGGUAAGUCGGGUGCAUUCUUUAUCUGUACCAUAUCAUGAUUAUAGUUUCAGAUGUAAGUCUUUGUAAGUACGUACGUGGCUCCAACGAUGAUUGUUUUGCAAGGAAAGAAAUUAAUAA